GACGAACGCUGGCGGCGUGCCUAAUACAUGCAAGUCGAGCGACGUUUUUCUGGUGCUUGCACUAGAAAAACUUAGCGGCGAACGGGUGAGUAACACGUAAAGAACCUGACUCAUUGACUGGGACAACUAUUGGAAACGAUACCUAAUACCGGAUAACAGUAUUUCUCGCAUGAGAGAUAUUUAAAAGUUGGUUAUCCUAACACUAUGAGAUGGCUUUGCGGUGCAUUAGCUAGUUGGUGGGGUAAAGGCCCACCAAGUCGACGAUGCAUAGCCGACCUGAAAGGGUGAUCGGCCACACUGGGACUGAGACACGGCCCAGACUCCUACGGGAGGCAGCAGUAGGGAAUCUUCCGCAAUGGGCGAAAGCCUGACGGAGCAACGCCGCGUGAGUGAAGAAGGAUUUCGGUUCGUAAAGCUCUGUUGUUAGGGAAGAAUGGAUAUGUAGUAACUAUACAUGUAAGAGACGGUACCUAACCAGAAAGCCACGGCUAACUACGUG
This 499-nucleotide ribosomal RNA is filed under the name uncultured bacterium. Its description in RNAcentral is "partial 16S ribosomal RNA". It matches the Rfam family "Bacterial small subunit ribosomal RNA", at positions 28 to 507 of the family's 1533-position model. The record is from RNAcentral.